AUUGAACGCUGGCGGUAGGCCUAACACAUGCAAGUCGAACGCGAAAGUCCUUCGGAUGAGUAGAGUGGCGGACGGGUGAGUAACGCGUAGGAAUCUAUCCUGUAGUGGGGGAUAACGUUUCGAAAGGAACGCUAAUACCGCAUACGCCCCAAGGGGGAAAGCGGGGGAUCUUCGGACCUCGUGCUAUAGGAGGAGCCUGCGUCGGAUUAGCUAGUUGGUGAGGUAAAGGCUCACCAAGGCGACGAUCCGUAGCUGGUCUGAGAGGAUGAUCCGCCACACUGGGACUGAGACACGGCCCAGACUCCUACGGGAGGCAGCAGUGGGGAAUUUUGGACAAUGGGCGCAAGCCUGAUCCAGCCAUGCCGCGUGCAGGAAGACGGACCUAUGGUUUGUAAACUGCUUUUGAACGGGAGAAAACCCCCUACGUGUAGGGGGCUGAUAGUACUGUUAGAAUAAGCAUCGGCUAACUUCGUG
Molecule: ribosomal RNA, 474 nt
Filed under: uncultured bacterium
Lineage: Bacteria
Description: bacterial SSU rRNA
Rfam family: Bacterial small subunit ribosomal RNA
Source: RNAcentral